UACGGAGGGUGCGAGCGUUGUCCGGAUUUAUUGGGUUUAAAGGGUGCGUAGGCGGCCUGUUAAGUCAGCGGUGAAAGUUUCCGGCUCAACCGGGAGACUGCCGUUGAUACUGUCAGGCUUGAGUAAUGGAGGGGUACAUGGAAUUUAUGGUGUAGCGGUGAAAUGCAUAGAUACCAUAAGGAACACCGAUAGCGAAGGCAUUGUACCGGCCAUUUACUGACGCUGAGGCACGAAAGCGUGGGUAGCGAACAGG
This 253-nucleotide unclassified non-coding RNA is filed under the name uncultured Cyclobacteriaceae bacterium. RNAcentral describes it as "contains 16S-23S intergenic spacer region". It matches the Rfam family "Bacterial small subunit ribosomal RNA", at positions 524 to 776 of the family's 1533-position model. Lineage: Bacteria; Pseudomonadati; Bacteroidota; Cytophagia; Cytophagales; Cyclobacteriaceae. The record is from RNAcentral.